This 354-nucleotide unclassified non-coding RNA is filed under the name soil metagenome. RNAcentral describes it as "partial contains 5.8S ribosomal RNA, internal transcribed spacer 2, and large subunit ribosomal RNA". The stretch from base 1 to 120 matches the Rfam family "5.8S ribosomal RNA", at positions 35 to 154 of the family's 154-position model. The record is from RNAcentral.
GAUGAAGAACGCAGCGAAACGCGAUAUGUAAUGUGGAUUGCAGAAUUCAGUGAAUCAUCGAAUCUUUGAACGCACAUGGCGCCUUCCAGUAUCCUGGGAGGCAUGCCUGUCCGAGCGUCGUUUCAACCCUCGAGCCCUCGUGGCCCGGCGUUGGGGAUCUGCCACGGCAGGCCCCGAAAUACAGUGGCGGACCCGUUAGGCCCUUCCUUUGCGUAGUAGCAUCAGCCUCGCAUCGGGAGCCGGCGGGCUCUCCUGCCUCUAAACCCCCCAACAAGCCCGCUCCGGCGGCACCAAGGUUGACCUCGGAUCAGGUAGGAAUACCCGCUGAACUUAAGCAUAUCAAUAAGCGGAGGA